RNAcentral lists this ribosomal RNA (496 nucleotides) under uncultured bacterium. RNAcentral's name for it is "partial 16S ribosomal RNA". It matches the Rfam family "Bacterial small subunit ribosomal RNA", at positions 29 to 507 of the family's 1533-position model. The record is from RNAcentral.
AUGAACGCUGGCGGCGUGCCUAAUACAUGCAAGUCGAGCGAACAGACGAGGAGCUUGCUCCUCUGACGUUAGCGGCGGACGGGUGAGUAACACGUAGAUAACCUACCUAUAAGACUGGGAUAACUUCGGGAAACCGGAGCUAAUACCGGAUAAUAUAUUGAACCGCAUGGUUCAAUAGUGAAAGACGGUUUUGCUGUCACUUAUAGAUGGAUCCGCGCCGCAUUAGCUAGUUGGUAAGGUAACGGCUUACCAAGGCAACGAUGCGUAGCCGACCUGAGAGGGUGAUCGGCCACACUGGAACUGAGACACGGUCCAGACUCCUACGGGAGGCAGCAGUAGGGAAUCUUCCGCAAUGGGCGAAAGCCUGACGGAGCAACGCCGCGUGAGUGAUGAAGGUCUUCGGAUCGUAAAACUCUGUUAUUAGGGAAGAACAAAUGUGUAAGUAACUAUGCACGUCUUGACGGUACCUAAUCAGAAAGCCACGGCUAACUACGUG